RNAcentral lists this ribosomal RNA (408 nucleotides) under uncultured bacterium. RNAcentral's name for it is "partial 16S ribosomal RNA". It matches the Rfam family "Bacterial small subunit ribosomal RNA", at positions 28 to 526 of the family's 1533-position model. The record is from RNAcentral.
GACGAACGCUGGCGGCGUGCUUAACACAUGCAAGUCGAACGAAGUGGCGAACGGGUGAGUAACGCGUAAUCAACCUGCCCUUCAGAGGGGGACAACAGUUGGAAACGACUGCUAAUACCGCAUACUGAAGGAGGGGAUUGCGUCUGAUUGGCUAGUUGGAGGGGUAACGGCCCACCAAGGUGAGGAGCAGUAGCCGGUCCGAGAGGUUGAACGGCCACAAGGGGACGUGGAAACGGCCCAGACCCCUUAGGGAGGCAGCAGGUGGGAAUCAUCCGAAAUGGACGAAAGGCUGACUGAGCAACGCCGCGGGAGGGAUGACGGGCUUCGGGUUGUAAAGCUCUGUUAAUCGGGACGCGGUACCGGAAGAGAAAGCCACGGCUAACUACGUGCCAGCAGCCGCGGUAAUAC